CUCGGACGAUGUUACGUAUGCGUUUGCGGGGGAAAAAAAAGGGUUAACACCAAGUUCAUUUACAAAUAUGAAUGUGUGAACACCAGGUGUCCUCAGUUGCAAAUGAAACACCAAAAGGAGCAAAGAAGCACGCUGAUUUUUUCAUUACAAAGUAUGUUUAUUACAGUCUAUUAUGCUCCAUGUACAAAUGUACAAUUUUCACACAAAUAAGAGACUUCACAAAGAAAUAAAUAUAAUCUUUAAAAAAAAAAAAAUACAACUUUGCACUGAAUAUAAUAUGUAAAGUAAACAUCACAAUAUCAAAAUAUUUUCUAGCAAAUUUCAUACAACACCUUGUCCUUACAGGUUACAAAAAUAUUGUUUUAGCAUACUGUUUCUGUUUGUUUGUUUGUUUGUUUGUUUGUUUUUAUUAGAGGGAUAAUGGCUUUAUAAAAACCUUAUAAAUCUGUCUGUAUUUAAAAAGUGCUCAUAAAACCCUACAAUAGUAACAUUUUCUGUGUUUUAAUCUACACAGGUGUUUUCCUUCAUUGACAAGUAGUUUUUACAAUGUUUUCCCACCACACACACACACACACACACACACACACACACA
This is a long non-coding RNA of Ictalurus furcatus (blue catfish), 592 nucleotides long. RefSeq lists it as uncharacterized. The record is from RefSeq and is a predicted model, not a curated record. Lineage: Eukaryota; Metazoa; Chordata; Actinopteri; Siluriformes; Ictaluridae. The transcript has 2 exons.